UUCCUACGGGUGGCUGCAGCUAAGAAUCUUGCGCAAUGGGCGAAAGCCUGACGCAGCAAUUCCGCGUGGGGGACGAAGGCCCUCGGGUCGUAAACCCCUUUUGCGAGGGAAGAAGUUCUGACGGUACCUCGCGAAUAAGCACCGGCUAACUACGUGCCAGCAGCCGCGGUAAUACGUAGGGUGCGAGCGUUGUCCGGAUUUAUUGGGCGUAAAGAGCCCGCAGGCGGCCUGUCAAGUUUCAGGUGAAAUCUCACGGCUCAACUGGGAGGGGUCCUGGAAAACUGGCAGGCUUGAGGCAGGGAGAGGGAUGUGGAAUUCCCGGUGUAGUGGUGAAAUGCGUAGAUAUCGGGAGGAACACCAGUGGCGAAGGCGGCAUCCUGGCCCUGUCCUGACGCUCAGGGGCGAAAGCGUGGGGAGCAAACCGGAUUAGAUACCCUUGUAGUCA
RNAcentral lists this ribosomal RNA (445 nucleotides) under uncultured bacterium. Its description in RNAcentral is "bacterial SSU rRNA". It matches the Rfam family "Bacterial small subunit ribosomal RNA", at positions 336 to 796 of the family's 1533-position model. The record is from RNAcentral.